UACGUAGGGCGCAAGCGUUGUCCGGAAUUAUUGGGCGUAAAGAGCUCGUAGGCGGCCUGCUGCGUCCGCUGUGAAAUCCCGGGGCUUAACCCCGGGCUUGCAGUGGAUACGGGCAGGCUGGAGGCAGGCAGGGGAGAACGGAAUUCCCGGUGUAGCGGUGAAAUGCGCAGAUAUCGGGAGGAACACCAGUGGCGAAGGCGAUCACCUGGGGUUGUUCUGACGCUGAGGAGCGAAAGCUAGGGGAGCAAACGGG
This 253-nucleotide ribosomal RNA is filed under the name uncultured bacterium. Its description in RNAcentral is "partial 16S ribosomal RNA". It matches the Rfam family "Bacterial small subunit ribosomal RNA", at positions 524 to 776 of the family's 1533-position model. The record is from RNAcentral.